Molecule: ribosomal RNA, 462 nt
Filed under: uncultured bacterium
Lineage: Bacteria
Description: partial 16S ribosomal RNA
Rfam family: Bacterial small subunit ribosomal RNA
Source: RNAcentral
GACGAACGCUGGCGGCGUGCCUAACACAUGCAAGUCGAGCGGAAAGGCCCUUCGGGGUACUCGAGCGGCGAACGGGUGAGUAACACGUGAGUAACCUGCCCCAGACUUUGGGAUAACCCUCGGAAACGGUGGCUAAUACCAGCUACGACACAGCUUCGCAUGGGGUCUGUGUGGAAAGUUCUUCGGUUUGGGAUGGGCUUGCGGCCUAUCAGCUUGUUGGUGGGGUGAUGGCAUAUCAAGGCGACGACGGUUAGCCGGCCUGAGAGGGCGACCAGCCACACUGGGACUGAGACACCGGCCAGACGGCUACUGGAGGCAGCGGUGGGAGAUAUUGCACAAUGGGCGGAAGCCUGAAGCAGCGACGCCGGGUGGGGAAGGACGGCCUUCGGGUUAGAAACCGCGUUCAGCAGGGACGUAGCGUAAGUGACGGUACCUGCAGAAGAAGCGCCGGCCAACUACGUG